AACCUGGUUGAUCCUGCCAGUAGUCAUAUGCUUGUCUCAAAGAUUAAGCCAUGCAUGUCUCAGUAUAAGCUUCUAUACGGCGAAACUGCGAAUGGCUCAUUAAAACAGUUAUAGUUUAUUUGAUGGUCAACAAUUACAUGGAUAACCGUGGUAAUUCUAAAGCUAAUACAUGCGCCCAAACCCAACUUCGUGGAGGGGU
RNAcentral lists this ribosomal RNA (199 nucleotides) under uncultured marine eukaryote. RNAcentral describes it as "partial 18S ribosomal RNA". It matches the Rfam family "Eukaryotic small subunit ribosomal RNA", at positions 1 to 201 of the family's 1831-position model. The record is from RNAcentral.